AUAACUCCUCUAACUACAAGGACCGAAACAUCUAGCCCUUCCUCUCGACAUUGAUGCAACCCUGGAAAUAAUGAUAUAGAGUAAGAAGAAAGAAAAUAAAAGUGAAGGAUUACUUGGAAACUGGGAAGUGUUCACAGAGGAAGAAUAACUCUAGUGAAUGAAUUAAAGAAAAAAGAAAGGAAUGAAAGAAAGGAGAUCUAAG
This 202-nucleotide long non-coding RNA is filed under the name Gossypium barbadense (sea-island cotton). RNAcentral describes it as "long non-coding RNA (GBAR_LNC018554)". The record is from RNAcentral. Lineage: Eukaryota; Viridiplantae; Streptophyta; Magnoliopsida; Malvales; Malvaceae.